This is a long non-coding RNA of Mycetomoellerius zeteki, 89 nucleotides long. RefSeq lists it as uncharacterized. The transcript has 3 exons. The record is from RefSeq and is a predicted model, not a curated record. Lineage: Eukaryota; Metazoa; Arthropoda; Insecta; Hymenoptera; Formicidae.
AACUAAUGAACGCAUCUAUCUGAAAUUUUAACAGUAGCGCUGUGAAGGAUCAAACUUGUCUAAAAUUAUAGCAGGUAUAUUUGAUAUUU